Molecule: non-coding RNA, 575 nt
Organism: Chrysemys picta bellii (western painted turtle)
Lineage: Eukaryota; Metazoa; Chordata; Testudines; Emydidae
Source: RefSeq, a predicted model, not a curated record
UAGCACUUAAUGAUUGCUAGCUUUUCCAUGAUCAUCUUGGGAAUUAAGAGUAAAUCCAUCCCCACUCCACAGACUUUGAGACGGGGUGCCCUGCACUACUCGUUUCCUCCCUCCAGAGGGCGCCACUUGGGCAGAAGCCAGGAUCAGCAGCCCAGACAAAGAUGUACAACGCCCUAACGUUACUGUUCUUGCAAGGAGAGGGAGGAGCAAGUAUCACCGCUGGUUCCAGUGAGAACAGAUGACAAAGUGGGGAGGUUGGUGACAGCUGCAACCUGAUAGCCCAGGGAAAAGGACUAUUGUAUGGACAAGAGGACCAGAUGAAAAGGAAAACUUCCCAUUAUUAUACUGAAGCGAGGACAAAAUCUUAGUUUCAAUGGAAUAGUUCAGGACUGCCCCACUAAAACUGGCCAUCCUACUCAAAUGUGACACAAAUUCUAGCAAUGACAGUCAAUCAACAGGUUUCUGGAUGAUAGUAGCUGUUAGUUAAUGUAUGUACAGUAUUUCCCAUCUUCUCUUAAUCCUUCAAAUGCUAUACAUUGUGUAGGGGCCAAGAGGCUUCCUGGAAUGCCAAUAAA